RNAcentral lists this ribosomal RNA (497 nucleotides) under uncultured bacterium. RNAcentral's name for it is "partial 16S ribosomal RNA". It matches the Rfam family "Bacterial small subunit ribosomal RNA", at positions 899 to 1397 of the family's 1533-position model. The record is from RNAcentral.
ACUCAAAGGAAUUGACGGGGGCCCGCACAAGCGGAGGAGCAUGUGGUUUAAUUCGAUGAUACGCGAGGAACCUUACCCGGGCUUGAAAGUUAGUGACCGAUCUUGAAAGAGAUCUUUCAGCAAUGACACGAAACUAGGUGCUGCAUGGCUGUCGUCAGCUCGUGCCGUGAGGUGUUGGGUUAAGUCCCGUAACGAGCGCAACCCCUGUUAUUAGUUGCCAGCACGUCAAGGUGGGAACUCUAAUAAGACUGCCCGCGCAAGCGGUGAGGAAGGUGGGGAUGACGUCAAGUCAGCACGGCCCUUACGUCCGGGGCUACACACGUGCUACAAUGGAUGGUACAGAAGGAAGCUACCAGGUGACUGGAUGCAAAUCUCCAAAGCCAUUCUCAGUUCGGAUCGAAGUCUGCAACUCGACUUCGUGAAGCUGGAUUCGCUAGUAAUCGGAUAUCAGCAAUGAUCCGGUGAAUACGUUCCCGGGCCUUGUACACACCGCCCGU